RNAcentral lists this small nucleolar RNA (97 nucleotides) under Zalophus californianus (California sea lion). RNAcentral describes it as "Small nucleolar RNA U3 (ENSZCAG00015003782.1)". The stretch from base 1 to 41 matches the Rfam family "Small nucleolar RNA U3", at positions 1 to 41 of the family's 219-position model. The record is from RNAcentral. Lineage: Eukaryota; Metazoa; Chordata; Mammalia; Carnivora; Otariidae. RNAcentral also lists the same sequence under 2 other names.
AAGACUAUACUUUCAGGAAUCAUUUCUAUAGUUCGUUACUAGAAAUGGGAGUCAUUAAAUUCUGCAGUCAGGACCUCGUAGGCCUGCAACAGGAGGC